RNAcentral lists this ribosomal RNA (433 nucleotides) under uncultured bacterium. Its description in RNAcentral is "bacterial SSU rRNA". It matches the Rfam family "Bacterial small subunit ribosomal RNA", at positions 29 to 507 of the family's 1533-position model. The record is from RNAcentral.
AACGAACGCUGGCGGCAUGCCUAACACAUGCAAGUCGAACGAAGCCUUCGGGCUUAGUGGCGCACGGGUGCGUAACGCGUGGGAAUCUGCCCCUCGGUUCGGAAUAACAGUUAGAAAUGACUGCUAAUACCGGAUGAUGACGAAAGUCCAAGGAUUUAUCGCCGAGGGAUGAGCCCGCGUAGGAUUAGCUUGUUGGUGGGGUAAUGGCCCACCAAGGCGACGAUCCUUAGCUGGUCUGAGAGGAUGAUCAGCCACACUGGGACUGAGACACGGCCCAGACUCCUACGGGAGGCAGCAGUGGGGAAUAUUGGACAAUGGGCGAAAGCCUGAUCCAGCAAUGCCGCGUGAGUGAUGAAGGCCUUAGGGUUGUAAAGCUCUUUUACCAGGGAUGAUAAUGACAGUACCUGGAGAAUAAGCUCCGGCUAACUCCGUG